RNAcentral lists this transfer RNA (18 nucleotides) under Bubalus bubalis (water buffalo). Its description in RNAcentral is "partial tRNA-Leu". The record is from RNAcentral. Lineage: Eukaryota; Metazoa; Chordata; Mammalia; Artiodactyla; Bovidae.
GUUAAGGUGGCAGAGCCC